This 253-nucleotide ribosomal RNA is filed under the name uncultured bacterium. RNAcentral describes it as "partial 16S ribosomal RNA". It matches the Rfam family "Bacterial small subunit ribosomal RNA", at positions 524 to 776 of the family's 1533-position model. The record is from RNAcentral.
AACGUAGGUGGCAAGCGUUGUCCGGAAUUACUGGGCGUAAAGGGAGCGCAGGCGGAAUGGCAAGUUGGAUGUGAAAUCUAUGGGCUCAACCCAUAGCGUGCAUUCAAAACUGCUGUUCUUGAGUGAUGUAGAGGUAGGCGGAAUUCCCGGUGUAGCGGUGGAAUGCGUAGAUAUCGGGAGGAACACCAGUGGCGAAGGCGGCCUACUGGGCAUUAACUGACGCUGAGGCUCGAAAGUAUGGGGAGCAAACAGG